CCUACGGGAGGCUGCAGUGGGGAAUAUUGGACAAUGGGGGCAACCCUGAUCCAGCCAUGCCGCGUGUGUGAAGAAGGCCCUCGGGUUGUAAAGCACUUUCAGUGAGGAAGAACGCCUGGUGGUUAAUACCCAUCAGGAAAGACAUCACUCACAGAAGAAGUACCGGCUAACUCCGUGCCAGCAGCCGCGGUAAUACGGAGGGUGCGAGCGUUAAUCGGAAUUACUGGGCGUAAAGCGCGCGUAGGUGGCUUGAUAAGCCGGUUGUGAAAGCCCCGGGCUCAACCUGGGAACGGCAUCCGGAACUGUGAAGCUAGAGUGCAGGAGAGGAAGGUAGAAUUCCCGGUGUAGCGGUGAAAUGCGUAGAGAUCGGGAGGAAUACCAGUGGCGAAGGCGGCCUUCUGGACUGACACUGACACUGAGGUGCGAAAGCGUGGGUAGCAAACAGGAUUAGAUACCCCUGUAGUC
Molecule: ribosomal RNA, 465 nt
Filed under: Vreelandella stevensii
Lineage: Bacteria; Pseudomonadati; Pseudomonadota; Gammaproteobacteria; Oceanospirillales; Halomonadaceae
Description: partial 16S ribosomal RNA
Rfam family: Bacterial small subunit ribosomal RNA
Source: RNAcentral